UACGGGGGGGGCAAGCGUUGUUCGGAAUUACUGGGCGUAAAGGGCUCGUAGGUGGCCAACUAAGUCAGACGUGAAAUCCCCAGGCUCAACUUGGGAACUGCGUCUGAUACUGGUUGGCUUGAGUGCAGGAGAGGAACGUGGAAUUCCAGGUGUAGCGGUGAAAUGCGUAGAUAUCUGGAGGAACACCGGUGGCGAAGGCGGCGUUCUGGACUGCAUCUGACACUGAGGAACGAAAGCCAGGGGAGCAAACGGG
This 253-nucleotide ribosomal RNA is filed under the name uncultured bacterium. RNAcentral's name for it is "partial 16S ribosomal RNA". It matches the Rfam family "Bacterial small subunit ribosomal RNA", at positions 524 to 776 of the family's 1533-position model. The record is from RNAcentral.